This 497-nucleotide ribosomal RNA is filed under the name uncultured bacterium. RNAcentral's name for it is "partial 16S ribosomal RNA". It matches the Rfam family "Bacterial small subunit ribosomal RNA", at positions 28 to 507 of the family's 1533-position model. The record is from RNAcentral.
GAUGAACGCUGGCGGCGUGCCUAAUACAUGCAAGUCGAGCGAACAGACGAGGUUCUUGCUCCUCUGACGUUAUACGCGGACGGGUAACUAGUACGUGGCUAACCUAUCUAUUAGACUGAGAUUACUUCUAGAAACCGGAGCCAAUACCGGAUUAUAUAUUGAACCGCAUGGUUCUAUCUUUAGAGGCGGACUUUCUUUUACUUAUAGAUGGUUCCGCGCCGCCUUAUCUACUUGGUAAGGUAAUGGCUUACCAAGGCAACGAUGGGUAGCCGUCCCGAGAGUGAGAUCGUGCACAGCGAAACUGAGACACGGUCCAGACUCCGACGGGUGGGAGCAGUAGGAAAUCGUCCGCAAGGGGCGAAAGCCUGACGGUGAAGCGGCGCGUGAGUGAGGAAGGUCUUCGGAUCGGAAUACUCAGUUACUUGGGAAGAACAAAUGUGUAAGUAAUUAUGCGCGUCUUGACGGUACCUGAACAGAAAGCCACGGCUAACUACGUG